Molecule: ribosomal RNA, 397 nt
Filed under: uncultured bacterium
Lineage: Bacteria
Description: partial 16S ribosomal RNA
Rfam family: Bacterial small subunit ribosomal RNA
Source: RNAcentral
AUACGUAGGUGGCAAGCGUUGUCCGGAAUUAUUGGGCGUAAAGCGCGCGCAGGCGGUCCUUUAAGUCUGAUGUGAAAGCCCACGGCUCAACCGGGGAGGGUCAUUGGAAACUGGAGGACUUGAGUGCAGAAGAGGAAAGUGGAAUUCCAAGUGGAGCGGUGAAAUGCGUAGAGAUUUGGAGGAACACCAGUGGCGAAGGCGACUUUCUGGUCUGUAACUGACGCUGAGGCGCGAAAGCGUGGGGAGCAAACAGGAUUAGAUACCCUGGUAGUCCACGCCGUAAACGAUGAGUGCUAAGUGUUAGGGGGUUUCCGCCCCUUAGUGCUGCAGCUAACGCAUUAAGCACUCCGCCUGGGGAGUACGGUCGCAAGACUGAAACUCAAAGGAAUUGACGGGG